Molecule: ribosomal RNA, 253 nt
Filed under: uncultured bacterium
Lineage: Bacteria
Description: partial 16S ribosomal RNA
Rfam family: Bacterial small subunit ribosomal RNA
Source: RNAcentral
UACGGAGGGUGCUAGCGUUGUUCGGAAUUACUAGGCGUAAAGCGCGCGUAGGCGGCUUUGUAAGUUAGAGGUGAAAGCCCGGAGCUCAACUCCGGAACUGCCUUUAAAACUGCAGCGCUUGAAUCCAGGAGAGGUGAGUGGAAUUCCGAGUGUAGAGGUGAAAUUCGUAGAUAUUCGGAAGAACACCAGUGGCGAAGGCGGCUCACUGGACUGGUAUUGACGCUGAGGUGCGAAAGCGUGGGGAGCAAACAGG